CGCGCGAGGCCCCCGGGCUGAGCCCCCGCACGCAGUCCGGGUGGGAGAGGGCGGUUCCCCCACCGCCCCUGCGCGACGCGGGCCUCUCCCAGCGAGUCCCCGCAGCGAAAGUUCCCGGGAUAGGUCGGAAUCGGUUUCACCUGCGCCCCGGCGACGCCUCUUCCCUGGCUCUGGAGGAAGGGCCCGGCCCGCCUCCUCCUGUCCUUCCGCCCUCUGAGGUCUCCCCGGCCCUGCCACCUCUCCCAGAUGAGUCAGGCUGGUCCCAGCCAGAGACAGCUCCGUAGGUGAGUCGCCAGCCAGAGGGAGCCGGCAGCGAACCUCUCUGCAGGACGCGGAGCCCCUCCCGGGCCGGGAAAUGGAAAGCAGGAUGUAUUCUGAUGUGCUUAUUCUUUGCCUUUGGUCCAAACCUCUACAGUGGAUAUAGAAUGACAUUUCCAUCCAAGAAGGUGGAACUGCCCAAUGUCCAUCAUCCAGGCCAUCAACCAAGACUUAGUCAUCUCUUUGUCUCUGGCACACACUGUGGCACAUCCAGCUCUCUGUAAGGACUGAUGGGUUGAAUAAAAGACUGAACAAGAGAUAAGUUGGCAAUAGACUGAGAAGGGUUUUGAGUAUUGAUUUAAGACAUUUGGAUUUUAUCUUUUAGAUCACAGGUGUCCAACAGCCUUAAAGCUGAGAAGUGAUAGGAUGAACUUCUCUUUCAAAUGUAUCAUCUCUUUGGGAUAAAUCUCAUCAU
This is a long non-coding RNA of Prionailurus viverrinus (fishing cat), 733 nucleotides long. RefSeq lists it as uncharacterized. NCBI's taxonomy places the organism in Eukaryota, Metazoa, Chordata, Mammalia, Carnivora, Felidae. The record is from RefSeq and is a predicted model, not a curated record. The transcript is spliced from 3 exons.